AGAACUUAGCAGAGAUGCUUUGGUGCCUUCGGGAACUCUGAGACAGGUGCUGCAUGGCUGUCGUCAGCUCGUGUUGUGAAAUGUUGGGUUAAGUCCCGCAACGAGCGCAACCCUUAUCCUUUGUUGCCAGCGGUCCGGCCGGGAACUCAAAGGAGACUGCCAGUGAUAAACUGGAGGAAGGUGGGGAUGACGUCAAGUCAUCAUGGCCCUUACGAGUAGGGCUACACACGUGCUACAAUGGCGCAUACAAAGAGAAGCGACCUCGCGAGAGCAAGCGGACCUCAUAAAGUGCGUCGUAGUCCGGAUUGGAGUCUGCAACUCGACUCCAUGAAGUCGGAAUCGCUAGUAAUCGUAGAUCAGGAUGCUACGGUGAAUACGUUCCCGGGCCUUGUACACACCGCCCGUCACACCAUGGGAGUGGGUUGCAAAAGAAGUAGGUAGCUUAACCUUCGGGAGGGCGCUUACCACUUUGUGAUUCAUGACUGGGGUGAAGUCGUAACAAGGUAAGCGUAGCGAG
Molecule: ribosomal RNA, 517 nt
Filed under: uncultured bacterium
Lineage: Bacteria
Description: bacterial SSU rRNA
Rfam family: Bacterial small subunit ribosomal RNA
Source: RNAcentral